CAGAGUUGCAAGACUCCCUAAACCAUUGUGAACCUACCUUCUACCGUUGCUUCGGCGGGCGGGCCCAGCGCCCCCCCCGGCCCCCCCGCGGGGCGCCCGCCGGAGGAUACCCAAACUCUUGACAUUAGUGGCCUCUCUGAGUAUUCUUUACUGAAUAAGUCA
RNAcentral lists this unclassified non-coding RNA (162 nucleotides) under soil metagenome. RNAcentral describes it as "partial internal transcribed spacer 1". The record is from RNAcentral.